UGUUGCAUUUGUGUAACAAGUCUACCAGACACUGCAGCCGGUGCUGAUUGGAAUUACUUUCGCUGGACAAAUGGGCAAGGCGCUACACUAGAGGCUGCAUGGCCCUGAGUGCUUCUCCCACCACCAGUUUACCGAAUGCUGUCCCCCAGAUACUAAAGAUGACAUGAUCCUGAGAGUGUUUCUCCCACCACCAGUAACAAGUUGGAAAGAAGACUGCCCGCCCAUGAGCAUUGAUGAGGCUCGAAAGUCAUAUUGUAGCAGAAGUAUACAUGUGGAAUAUUGAAUACGAUUGCAUAUGUAAUACUCUAAACCAGAGGUGGGAAGUAACUAAUUACAAAUACUCUUGUUACUGUAAUUA
This 358-nucleotide long non-coding RNA is filed under the name Salmo salar (Atlantic salmon). Its description in RNAcentral is "lncRNA (ENSSSAG00000110534.1, ENSSSAG00020079480.1)". The record is from RNAcentral. Lineage: Eukaryota; Metazoa; Chordata; Actinopteri; Salmoniformes; Salmonidae.